Molecule: ribosomal RNA, 463 nt
Filed under: uncultured bacterium
Lineage: Bacteria
Description: partial 16S ribosomal RNA
Rfam family: Bacterial small subunit ribosomal RNA
Source: RNAcentral
GAUGAACGCUGACAGAAUGCUUAACACAUGCAAGUCGAUGGGGAAGUGGUGCUUGCACCAUGGCAACCAUGGCGGACGGGUGAGUAACGCGUAAGGGACUUACCUGCAGGACUGGGAUAACAGGGGGAAACUCCUGACAAGACCGGAUAAUGUCAUGGAGCUGCAUGGCUUUAUGAUGAAAGGAGACGCCUGCGGAGAGCCUUGCGUCCUAUUAGCUAGUUGGUGAGGUAAUGGCUCACCAAGGCGAAGAUAGGUAGCCGGCCUGAGAGGGUGGACGGCCACAAGGGGACUGAGAUACGGCCCUUACUCCUACGGGAGGCGGCAGUGGGGAAUAUUGGACAAUGGGGGCAACCCUGAUCCAGCAAUUCUGUGUGCACGAAGAAGGUUUUCGGAUUGUAAAGUGCCUUCAGCAGGGAAGAAGUAAGUGACGGUACCUGCAGAAGAAGCGACGGCUAAAUACGUG